GUCUAUGGCCAUGCCACCCUGAACAUGCCUGAUUUCAUUAGCUCUUGGAAGCUAAGCAAGGUCAGGCCUGGUUAGGACUGGGAUGGGAGACCACCUGGAAAUACUAGGUGCUGUCAGCU
This is a ribosomal RNA of Aotus nancymaae (Ma's night monkey), 119 nucleotides long. The record is from Ensembl. Lineage: Eukaryota; Metazoa; Chordata; Mammalia; Primates; Aotidae.